Molecule: ribosomal RNA, 253 nt
Filed under: uncultured bacterium
Lineage: Bacteria
Description: partial 16S ribosomal RNA
Rfam family: Bacterial small subunit ribosomal RNA
Source: RNAcentral
UACGUAGGGGGCAAGCGUUGUCCGGAUUUAUUGGGCGUAAAGAGCGUGUAGGCGGUCUGGUAGGUCCGUUGUGAAAACUCGAGGCUCAACCUCGAGACGCCGAUGGAAACCAUCAGACUAGAGUCCGGAAGAGGAGAGUGGAAUUCCUGGUGUAGCGGUGAAAUGCGCAGAUAUCAGGAAGAACCCCCGUGGCUAAGGCGGCUCUCUAGUACGGUACUGACGCUGAGACGCGAAAGCGUGGGGAGCGAACAGG